GGUUAAGCGACUAAGCGUACACGGUGGAUGCCCUGGCAGUCAGAGGCGAUGAAGGACGUGCUAAUCUGCGAAAAGCGCCGGCGAGGUGAUAUGAACCUUUGACCCGGCGAUGUCCGAAUGGGGAAACCCAGUGUGUUCCGACACACUAUCGUUAACUGAAUACAUAGGUUAACGAGGCGAACCGGGGGAACUGAAACAUCUAAGUACCCCGAGGAAAAGAAAUCAACCGAGAUUCCCCCAGUAGCGGCGAGCGAACGGGGAGCAGCCCAGAGUCUGAAUCAGCUUGUGUGUUAGUGGAAGCGUCUGGAAAGUCGCACGGUACAGGGUGACAGUCCCGUACACGAAAGCACACAGGUUGUGAACUCGAAGAGUAGGGCGGGACACGUGGUAUCCUGUCUGAAUAUGGGGGGACCAUCCUCCAAGGCUAAAUACUCCUGACUGACCGAUAGUGAACCAGUACCGUGAGGGAAAGGCGAAAAGAACCCCGGCGAGGGGAGUGAAAAAGAACCUGAAACCGUGUACGUACAAGCAGUGGGAGCACCUUCGUGGUGUGACUGCGUACCUUUUGUAUAAUGGGUCAGCGACUUAUAUUCUGUAGCAAGGUUAACCGUAUAGGGGAGCCGAAGGGAAACCGAGUCUUAACUGGGCGUUAAGUUGCAGGGUAUAGACCCGAAACCCGGUGAUCUAGCCAUGGGCAGGUUGAAGGUUGGGUAACACUAACUGGAGGACCGAACCGACUAAUGUUGAAAAAUUAGCGGAUGACUUGUGGCUGGGGGUGAAAGGCCAAUCAAACCGGGAGAUAGCUGGUUCUCCCCGAAAGCUAUUUAGGUAGCGCCUCGUGAACUCAUCUUCGGGGGUAGAGCACUGUUUCGGCUAGGGGGCCAUCCCGGCUUACCAACCCGAUGCAAACUACGAAUACCGAAGAAUGUUAUCACGGGAGACACACGGCGGGUGCUAACGUCCGUCGUGAAGAGGGAAACAACCCAGACCGCCAGCUAAGGUCCCAAAGUCAUGGUUAAGUGGGAAACGAUGUGGGAAGGCACAGACAGCCAGGAUGUUGGCUUAGAAGCAGCCAUCAUUUAAAGAAAGCGUAAUAGCUCACUGGUCGAGUCGGCCUGCGCGGAAGAUGUAACGGGGCUAAACCAUGCACCGAAGCUGCGGCAGCGACGCUUAUGCGUUGUUGGGUAGGGGAGCGUUCUGUAAGCCGUUGAAGGUGGCCUGUGAGGGUUGCUGGAGGUAUCAGAAGUGCGAAUGCUGACAUAAGUAACGAUAAAGCGGGUGAAAAGCCCGCUCGCCGGAAGACCAAGGGUUCCUGUCCAACGUUAAUCGGGGCAGGGUGAGUCGACCCCUAAGGCGAGGCCGAAAGGCGUAGUCGAUGGGAAACAGGUUAAUAUUCCUGUACUUGGUGUUACUGCGAAGGGGGGACGGAGAAGGCUAUGUUAGCCGGGCGACGGUUGUCCCGGUUUAAGCAUGUAGGCGGAGGUUCCAGGUAAAUCCGGUACCUUUUAACGCUGAGGUGUGAUGACGAGGCACUACGGUGCUGAAGUAACAAAUGCCCUGCUUCCAGGAAAAGCCUCUAAGCAUCAGGUAACAUCAAAUCGUACCCCAAACCGACACAGGUGGUCAGGUAGAGAAUACCAAGGCGCUUGAGAGAACUCGGGUGAAGGAACUAGGCAAAAUGGUGCCGUAACUUCGGGAGAAGGCACGCUGAUAUGUAGGUGAAGCCCCUGCGGGUGGAGCUGAAAUCAGUCGAAGAUACCAGCUGGCUGCAACUGUUUAUUAAAAACACAGCACUGUGCAAACACGAAAGUGGACGUAUACGGUGUGACGCCUGCCCGGUGCCGGAAGGUUAAUUGAUGGGGUUAGCGGCAACGCGAAGCUCUUGAUCGAAGCCCCGGUAAACGGCGGCCGUAACUAUAACGGUCCUAAGGUAGCGAAAUUCCUUGUCGGGUAAGUUCCGACCUGCACGAAUGGCGUAAUGAUGGCCAGGCUGUCUCCACCCGAGACUCAGUGAAAUUGAACUCGCUGUGAAGAUGCAGUGUACCCGCGGCAAGACGGAAAGACCCCGUGAACCUUUACUAUAGCUUGACACUGAACACUGGUCCUUGAUGUGUAGGAUAGGUGGGAGGCUUUGAAGUGUGGACGCCAGUCUGCAUGGAGCCGUCCUUGAAAUACCACCCUUUAAUGGCUGGUGUUCUAACGUAGACCCGUAAUCCGGGUUGCGGACAGUGUCUGGUGGGUAGUUUGACUGGGGCGGUCUCCUCCCAAAGAGUAACGGAGGAGCACGAAGGUUAGCUAAUCCUGGUCGGACAUCAGGAGGUUAGUGCAAUGGCAUAAGCUAGCUUGACUGCGAGAGUGACGGCUCGAGCAGGUGCGAAAGCAGGUCAUAGUGAUCCGGUGGUUCUGAAUGGAAGGGCCAUCGCUCAACGGAUAAAAGGUACUCCGGGGAUAACAGGCUGAUACCGCCCAAGAGUUCAUAUCGACGGCGGUGUUUGGCACCUCGAUGUCGGCUCAUCACAUCCUGGGGCUGAAGUAGGUCCCAAGGGUAUGGCUGUUCGCCAUUUAAAGUGGUACGCGAGCUGGGUUUAGAACGUCGUGAGACAGUUCGGUCCCUAUCUGCCGUGGGCGCUGGAGAAUUGAGGGGGGCUGCUCCUAGUACGAGAGGACCGGAGUGGACGCAUCACUGGUGUUCGGGUUGUCAUGCCAAUGGCACUGCCCGGUAGCUAAAUGCGGAAAAGAUAAGUGCUGAAAGCAUCUAAGCACGAAACUUGCCCCGAGAUGAGUUCUCCCUGAGACUUUAAGUCUCCUGAAGGAACGUUGAAGACGACGACGUUGAUAGGUCGGGUGUGUAAGCGCAGCGAUGCGUUGAGCUAACCGAUACUAAUGAACCGUGAGGCUUAACCUU
RNAcentral lists this ribosomal RNA (2905 nucleotides) under Enterobacter roggenkampii. Its description in RNAcentral is "23S ribosomal RNA". It matches the Rfam family "Bacterial large subunit ribosomal RNA". Lineage: Bacteria; Pseudomonadati; Pseudomonadota; Gammaproteobacteria; Enterobacterales; Enterobacteriaceae. The record is from RNAcentral.